AGAGGCUUAGGAUAAAUUAGACCGAAGACCUUCAAAGCCUUAAGCAGGAGUGAAAAUCUCCUAGCCUCUG
This 70-nucleotide transfer RNA is filed under the name Plotosus japonicus. Its description in RNAcentral is "tRNA-Trp". It matches the Rfam family "tRNA". From Rfam's summary of the family: Transfer RNA (tRNA) molecules are approximately 80 nucleotides in length. Their secondary structure includes four short double-helical elements and three loops (D, anti-codon, and T loops). Further hydrogen bonds mediate the characteristic L-shaped molecular structure. tRNAs have two regions of fundamental functional importance: the anti-codon, which is responsible for specific mRNA codon recognition, and the 3' end, to which the tRNAs corresponding amino acid is attached (by aminoacyl-tRNA synthetases). tRNAs cope with the degeneracy of the genetic code in two manners: having more than one tRNA (with a specific anti-codon) for a particular amino acid; and 'wobble' base-pairing, i.e. permitting non-standard base-pairing at the 3rd anti-codon position. The record is from RNAcentral. Lineage: Eukaryota; Metazoa; Chordata; Actinopteri; Siluriformes; Plotosidae.